AUACGGAGGAUCCGAGCGUUAUCCGGAUUUAUUGGGUUUAAAGGGAGCGUAGGCGGGAGAUCAAGUCAGCUGUGAAAUGUAGAUGCUCCACAUCUGCACUGCAGUUGAAACUGGUUUUCUUGAGUGCGUAAGGGGCAGGCGGAAUUCGUCGUGUAGCGGUGAAAUGCUUAGAUAUGACGAAGAACUCCGAUCGCGAAGGCAGCCUGCCGGGCCGCGACUGACGCUGAAGUUCGAAGGUGCGGGUAUCGAACAGGAUUAGAUACCCUGGUUGUCCGCACAGUAAACGAUGGAUACUCGCUGUCGGCGAUAUACGGUCGGUGGCCAAGCGAAAGCGUUAAGUAUCCCACCUGGGGAGUACGCCGGCAACGGUGAAACUCAAAUGAAUUGACGGGG
This 393-nucleotide ribosomal RNA is filed under the name uncultured bacterium. RNAcentral describes it as "partial 16S ribosomal RNA". It matches the Rfam family "Bacterial small subunit ribosomal RNA", at positions 523 to 918 of the family's 1533-position model. The record is from RNAcentral.